This 484-nucleotide ribosomal RNA is filed under the name uncultured bacterium. RNAcentral's name for it is "partial 16S ribosomal RNA". It matches the Rfam family "Bacterial small subunit ribosomal RNA", at positions 30 to 507 of the family's 1533-position model. The record is from RNAcentral.
AUUGAACGCUGGCGGCAGGCCUAACACAUGCAAGUCGAGCGGAUGAAGGGAGCUGGCUCCUGGAUUCAGCGGCGGACGGGUGAGUAAUGCCUAGGAAUCUGCCUGGUAGUGGGGGAUAACGUCCGGAAACGGGCGCUAAUACCGCAUACGUCCUGAGGGAGAAAGUGGGGGAUCUUCGGCCCUCACGCUAUCAGAUGAGCCUAGGUCGGAUUAGCUAGUUGGUGGGGUAAAGGCCUACCAAGGCGACGAUCCGUAACUGGUCUGAGAGGAUGAUCAGUCACACUGGAACUGAGACACGGUCCAGACUCCUACGGGAGGCAGCAGUGGGGAAUAUUGGACAAUGGGCGAAAGCCUGAUCCAGCCAUGCCGCGUGUGUGAAGAAGGUCUUCGGAUUGUAAAGCACUUUAAGUUGGGAGGAAGGGCAGUAAGUUAAUACCUUGCUGUUUUGACGUUACCAACAGAAUAAGCACCGGCUAACUUCGUG